Molecule: ribosomal RNA, 486 nt
Filed under: uncultured bacterium
Lineage: Bacteria
Description: bacterial SSU rRNA
Rfam family: Bacterial small subunit ribosomal RNA
Source: RNAcentral
AUGAACGCUAGCUACAGGCUUAACACAUGCAAGUCGAGGGGCAGCACAGUGUAGCAAUACACGGGUGGCGACCGGCGCACGGGUGCGUAACGCGUAUCCAACCUUCCCGUUACUCUUGGAUAGCCUUCCGAAAGGGAGAUUAAUACAAGAUGGUAUUCAAAUUCCGCAUGUUAUUUGAAUUAAAGAUUUAUCGGUAACGGAUGGGGAUGCGUGACAUUAGCUAGAUGGAGAGGUAACGGCUCCCCAUGGCGACGAUGUCUAGGGGGUUCUGAGAGGAAGGUCCCCCACACUGGAACUGAGACACGGUCCAGACUCCUACGGGAGGCAGCAGUGAGGAAUAUUGGACAAUGGAUGGAAAUCUGAUCCAGCCAUGCCGCGUGCAGGACUACAGUCCUAUGGAUUUUAAACUGCUUUUGUAUGGGAGCAAUAAGUGCUACGAGUAGCGCGAUGAGAGUACCAUACGAAUAAGCAUCGGCUAACUCCGUG